GCUCGCUUUGACAGGACACACUAAAAUUAGAACAAUACCGAGAAGAUGAAUUAUUAGCAUGGCCCCUGCGCAAGGAUGACCUGCAAACUUGUGAUGUGAUACAUACUGUU
Molecule: small nuclear RNA, 110 nt
Organism: Hippopotamus amphibius kiboko
Lineage: Eukaryota; Metazoa; Chordata; Mammalia; Artiodactyla; Hippopotamidae
Source: RefSeq, a predicted model, not a curated record